Triticum aestivum (bread wheat) is the source of this 134-nucleotide non-coding RNA. The record is from Rfam. NCBI's taxonomy places the organism in Eukaryota, Viridiplantae, Streptophyta, Magnoliopsida, Poales, Poaceae.
CACAUACUCCCUCCGUCCGAAAAUACUUGUCAUCAAAAUGGACAAAAAAGAUGUAUCUAAAACUAAAAUACAUCUUGACACAUCCCCUUUUAUUCAUUUUGAUGACAAGUAUUUCAGGACGGAGGGAGUACAUG